RNAcentral lists this ribosomal RNA (469 nucleotides) under uncultured bacterium. RNAcentral describes it as "bacterial SSU rRNA". It matches the Rfam family "Bacterial small subunit ribosomal RNA", at positions 330 to 792 of the family's 1533-position model. The record is from RNAcentral.
UCCAGACUCCUACGGGAGGCAGCAGUAGGGAAUUUUCGUCAAUGGGCGCAAGCCUGAACGAGCAAUGCCGCGUGAGUGAGGAAGGUCUUCGGAUCGUAAAGCUCUGUUGCAGGUCAGAAAAGAAGGAAAGAGGAAAUGCUUUUCUUUUGAUAGUAACCUGCCAGAAAGUCACGGCUAACUACGUGCCGGCAGCCGCGGUAAUACGUAGGUGGCAAGCGUUAUCCGGAAUGAUUGGGCGUAAAGGGUGCGCAGGCGGCGUGGCAAGUCUGAAGUGAAAGGUACGGGCUCAACCCCGCCCAGCCGUCGGAACUGCCGGGCUAGAGUGGGCGAGAAGUGCGCGGAAUGCGUGGCGUAGCGGUGAAAUGCAUAGAUAUCACGCAGAACUCCGAUUGCGAAGGCAGCGCACCGGCGCCCUACUGACGCUGAAGCACGAAAGCGUGGGUAUCGAACAGGAUUAGAUACCCUGGUA